UACGUAGGGUGCAAGCGUUAAUCGGAAUUACUGGGCGUAAAGCGUGCGCAGGCGGUUUUGUAAGUCUGACGUGAAAGCCCCGGGCUCAACCGGGGAAUUGCGUUGGAGACUGCAAGGCUAGAAUCUGGCAGAGGGGGGUAGAAUUCCACGUGUAGCAGUGAAAUGCGUAGAGAUGUGGAGGAACACCGAUGGCGAAGGCAGCCCCCUGGGUCAAGAUUGACGCUCAUGCACGAAAGCGUGGGGAGCAAACAGG
This 253-nucleotide ribosomal RNA is filed under the name uncultured bacterium. Its description in RNAcentral is "partial 16S ribosomal RNA". It matches the Rfam family "Bacterial small subunit ribosomal RNA", at positions 524 to 776 of the family's 1533-position model. The record is from RNAcentral.